GCAUUGGUGGUUCAGGAGUAGAAUUCUCCCCUUCCAUACCGAAGACCUGGGUUUGGUUCCCAGCCAAUGCA
Molecule: transfer RNA, 71 nt
Filed under: Loxodonta africana (African savanna elephant)
Lineage: Eukaryota; Metazoa; Chordata; Mammalia; Proboscidea; Elephantidae
Rfam family: tRNA
About the family: Transfer RNA (tRNA) molecules are approximately 80 nucleotides in length. Their secondary structure includes four short double-helical elements and three loops (D, anti-codon, and T loops). Further hydrogen bonds mediate the characteristic L-shaped molecular structure. tRNAs have two regions of fundamental functional importance: the anti-codon, which is responsible for specific mRNA codon recognition, and the 3' end, to which the tRNAs corresponding amino acid is attached (by aminoacyl-tRNA synthetases). tRNAs cope with the degeneracy of the genetic code in two manners: having more than one tRNA (with a specific anti-codon) for a particular amino acid; and 'wobble' base-pairing, i.e. permitting non-standard base-pairing at the 3rd anti-codon position.
Source: Rfam by way of RNAcentral